AACGAACGCUGGCGGCAGGCCUAACACAUGCAAGUCGAACGAUACCUGCGGGUCUAGUGGCGCACGGGUGCGUAACGCGUGGGAACCUGCCCUUAGGUGCGGAAUAACUCCCCGAAAGGGGUGCUAAUACCGGAUAAUGUCUUCGGACCAAAGAUUUAUCGCCUUUGGAUGGGCCCGCGUUGGAUUAGCUAGUUGGUAGGGUAAAAGCCUACCAAGGCGACGAUCCAUAGCUGGUCUGAGAGGAUGAUCAGCCACACUGGGACUGAGACACGGCCCAGACUACUACGGGAGGCAGCAGUGGGGAAUAUUGGACAAUGGGGGAAAGCAUGAUGCAGCACUGCCGCGUGAGUGAUGAAGGCGUUAGGGUUGUAAAGCUAUUUUACACGGGAUGAUAAUGACAGUACCGGGAGAAUAAGCUCCGGCUAACUCCGUG
RNAcentral lists this ribosomal RNA (433 nucleotides) under uncultured bacterium. Its description in RNAcentral is "partial 16S ribosomal RNA". It matches the Rfam family "Bacterial small subunit ribosomal RNA", at positions 29 to 507 of the family's 1533-position model. The record is from RNAcentral.